Molecule: long non-coding RNA, 2347 nt
Organism: Biomphalaria glabrata
Lineage: Eukaryota; Metazoa; Mollusca; Gastropoda; Planorbidae
Exons: 7
Source: RefSeq, a predicted model, not a curated record
ACAAAUCUGCUAUUAUAGGUUUUAAUGUUACCAGCAAAGUCAUAGAUAAUGGAAAAUUUGUUCAAUUUUAUUGCGAAGCAGACGGUAAUCCAAUACCUAAAAUGUUUAUUGUAAAAGAAAAUGAGACGAUUGCUCAAAACUCCAGUGGAUAUUAUCUCUACUAUAACAAAUCAAUGUCUUGUAGAGAUGCUGGUUAUUAUUUUUGUCAAGCAAACAAUGGAAUAGAUGUUAACAGAGACGAAUCAAAACAAAUUACUGUAUUUGUUAGAUGUCCUUUACAACUUACUUCCAAUGAAAUUCAACAGAGUUUUAGUCUUCAACAAGGAAAGUUGUUUUCCUACAAAUUUACUGUGUAUGGCUAUCCAGAUCCAGAUAAGAUUACAAUUUUAAAAUCUAAUCAAGUUUCAAACAUUGUUAUAGUUACAAAUUCAUCACUGGAGCCUCCCUAUGUAACAGUAGAACUCAAGAUUUUCAGCCUGUCUUCUGCAGAUUUCGGUAUUUACACACUUAUUAUGUUUCAAAAUGGAUUACAGACUUUGUCGUUGAUCUUCAUUAUAAAUGAAGAGACAGGUAUAAAUUUCGGUGCAGUUGUAGGUGGAAGUCUUGCUGCUUGUGUGGUGGUGAUUUCAGUUGUGGUUGUUGUUGUGGUAAAAAGAAAAUAUGAAAUCACAUGUAAGAAAAAAAUAUCAAAUAAAGAACCCAAGUAAGUUAUUAUUGUAUAUAUUUUACAUUUCUUAUUCAAAUACGUAAUAUAGCUCCAUACUGUAAUAUAACUAUUACUAUAUUUUGUUACAGACGAACACAAACAUAUUCAGAACUGUCACUAUCCCAACAACUAAAAGACAGACAUAAUUACGAAACUCCAAUCCACAGUAGAAACUUGUCAAAUAAUGAAGUGACUGAUAAAACUGCAAACUACAUGAAUGUAAAAGACAUAGAUAUACCCGUCGGAAACGAUCAUUCCCUUUACUGCAACACACACAAUGAAAAUGUUCACCAACAAAUGGCUAAGACAGUUGUUCUUAUAGGACAUGACAAGGGUGUUUCUCAACACGUGGAAAUCGAUAACAUCAAACCUUAGUAUGUUUAUAUUAUAUGUAUACUAGACAUAGUUUACCCGCGAUCCGCGGGUCUUUAUUUGUGAAUACUGUCGAUAUAGUCACUGAGAGUGUUUUUAAAACAAUUAAAUGAAAUUCUAAUGUAAUAAAUAAAGCGAAUGUAUAAAUGUAAAAAUAGUAUGAAUGAUUAAAAAAUUUGAAAUGAAUAGACUUAAUUUUGUAUGUUCAUGUGUUAAAGUAUAAAGUAGAUCUUGAGGUAGACAUAGAUCUAGAUCUACACUAAUCUUGAGUUAAAAAUUGGCUUUUAUAGAGUUCAUUCUGUGCUGCGUGAAGGCUUUGCUCUUCGCAUACGUGACCUUUUUUCAUAAAUGAAUAUAGGCCUAUCUCAACACGGCUACGCAGCUUUAGCGAACAGCAAACAAAUGUAUUAAAAAUGCUUUAGAAAAAAAAAAUUAAAUGUUAAUUGGAUAAAAAAAAGAAAUGACUGGUUUACAAUUAUAAUGGUCAUGUGUUAAAACAUAAAACUAUCUUUGCGAAAAGAAGUUUUAUCAUCUUAGAGUUGAAUAAGAGUUUUAGACCUAGGACCUAGGAACAGACUCAGUAGAGAGAUGUGUUAAUGUGUAACCAUUUGGUAAUGUCUAAUUAAAGUAUGUGCAUCGGGAUACCUAAAUUCGCAGAUAUAAAUAACGAAUUAAUUUUAAAAUGCUUUUAAAACAUCAAUUUGAAGGUUAAUUUUAUUGAAUAAUGAAAUCAAUCAAAUAUAUUUUGUAUUUUCAUGUGUCAAAAAAACUAUUAGUGCAAAGUUUAAUUCUUAAAAUUUGAUCUAGGUCUAAAUCUUUUCAAUCUUUUCUCAUGUCAACAUUGUAAACAUGGCCUAGAUCCAUAAAAUACUAUAGCUGUAAUAGAGUUGGUCUUUGUUUUGAGGGUCUUAAGUUUGUUUUAGGGCCACAUUACAUACACUACGGUCUAAGUUGGUACCCAAGGAACAUUUCUGCCAAGUUUUAUCAAGAUUGGUCAAGCGGUUUUUAUUUCUAUACAAGGACAUACAUACAUACAUACAUACAUACAUACAUACAUACAUACAAACAUACACACAUACAUACACACAUACGCCAAACAUUCUGCUUUUUAUAAUAUGCAUGCCCAAAUACAUUCAAAGUAAGACUUGACAUCGAUUGCAAGUUUAACAUAAGAGAAAGUCUAGUGAAAUAAGCAUAAAUAGCUACAACUGAUAAGUUGAACAUAAUUAAAGUCUUUAUUAAGUAAUAAAAAAGAGACAAAAAAUGCAU